Molecule: microRNA, 23 nt
Filed under: Saccoglossus kowalevskii
Lineage: Eukaryota; Metazoa; Hemichordata; Enteropneusta; Harrimaniidae
Description: Sko-Mir-4828-P2_5p* (star (passenger))
Source: RNAcentral
CAAUCUCUGUGUGCAUUUUCAUC